RNAcentral lists this transfer RNA (69 nucleotides) under Bos taurus (domestic cattle). It matches the Rfam family "tRNA". From Rfam's summary of the family: Transfer RNA (tRNA) molecules are approximately 80 nucleotides in length. Their secondary structure includes four short double-helical elements and three loops (D, anti-codon, and T loops). Further hydrogen bonds mediate the characteristic L-shaped molecular structure. tRNAs have two regions of fundamental functional importance: the anti-codon, which is responsible for specific mRNA codon recognition, and the 3' end, to which the tRNAs corresponding amino acid is attached (by aminoacyl-tRNA synthetases). tRNAs cope with the degeneracy of the genetic code in two manners: having more than one tRNA (with a specific anti-codon) for a particular amino acid; and 'wobble' base-pairing, i.e. permitting non-standard base-pairing at the 3rd anti-codon position. Lineage: Eukaryota; Metazoa; Chordata; Mammalia; Artiodactyla; Bovidae. The record is from Rfam by way of RNAcentral. RNAcentral also lists the same sequence under 1 other name.
UCCUGGUGGCUCAGUGGUAAAGAAUCUGCCUGCAAUGCAGAGACUCAGGUUCAAUCCCUGGGUCAGGAA